This 253-nucleotide ribosomal RNA is filed under the name uncultured bacterium. RNAcentral's name for it is "partial 16S ribosomal RNA". It matches the Rfam family "Bacterial small subunit ribosomal RNA", at positions 524 to 776 of the family's 1533-position model. The record is from RNAcentral.
UACGUAGGGGGCAAGCGUUGUCCGGAAUCAUUGGGCGUAAAGAGCGUGUAGGCGGCCCGAUUAGUCCGCUGUGAAAGUCGAGGGCUCAACCCUCGAAUGCCGGCGGAUACUGUCGGGCUAGAGUCCGGAAGAGGCGAGUGGAAUUCCUGGUGUAGCGGUGAAAUGCGCAGAUAUCAGGAGGAACACCGAUGGCGAAGGCAGCUCGCUGGGACGGUACUGGCGCUGAGACGCGAAAGCGUGGGGAGCAAACAGG